Molecule: ribosomal RNA, 253 nt
Filed under: uncultured bacterium
Lineage: Bacteria
Description: partial 16S ribosomal RNA
Rfam family: Bacterial small subunit ribosomal RNA
Source: RNAcentral
UACGAAGGGGGCUAGCGUUGCUCGGAAUCACUGGGCGUAAAGCGCACGUAGGCGGAUUGCUAAGUCGGGGGUGAAAUCCUGGAGCUCAACUCCAGAACUGCCUUUGAUACUGGCGAGCUUGAGUCCGGGAGAGGUGAGUGGAACUGCGAGUGUAGAGGUGAAAUUCGUAGAUAUUCGCAAGAACACCAGUGGCGAAGGCGGCUAACUGGCCCGGUACUGACGCUGAGGUGCGAAAGCGUGGGGAGCAAACAGG